This 216-nucleotide long non-coding RNA is filed under the name Capsicum annuum. RNAcentral describes it as "long non-coding RNA (CANN_LNC016288)". The record is from RNAcentral. Lineage: Eukaryota; Viridiplantae; Streptophyta; Magnoliopsida; Solanales; Solanaceae.
UUAGUUCAUUUCCUUUAUGGGUAUAGACGAUAUUUAAUAAUCCAUAACUGAAACAAGUUUUAACUAAGCUUGGGUUGGUUUUCGGUAGUGCGAUUAACUUGUUGUAACCUUGUAAUUUUUGAGUUAUAUAGUUUGUGUUUGGUUCUUGGAUAUCUGUGGCUCUGGGUUUAAGGUUUAGAUAAGACUAUAUUUUGUGGAUAUUUUCUAUGUAUGCUC